RNAcentral lists this unclassified non-coding RNA (285 nucleotides) under Hevea brasiliensis (rubber tree). The record is from RNAcentral. Lineage: Eukaryota; Viridiplantae; Streptophyta; Magnoliopsida; Malpighiales; Euphorbiaceae.
AGUGCUUGUCCCUGCAGCACUUGGAGUAGCAGGGUAAGUGCACCCACUCCCACUCGGAUCUGUAGUGGUAAGCGUGGCGGAGCCAGAAAAAUCGCACGCCCCUUGAGCCUGCCCCUUCCUCUGAUAAUAGCUGUUAGCAGCAUAAGAACAAUGAGCUGGGACGGUGUUGGGAUUAUAGCAAGCCCCGGACUGCGAGAUAGGGCCGCAAUCAGCCCCCGCUCCGCAGGCAUAGUCGAUUGUUUUCUGUUGAGCGCUCGCGCUCACAUCAGUCCUGCAUACACACCA